This 351-nucleotide unclassified non-coding RNA is filed under the name uncultured fungus. RNAcentral's name for it is "partial contains small subunit ribosomal RNA, internal transcribed spacer 1, and 5.8S ribosomal RNA". The stretch from base 1 to 73 matches the Rfam family "Eukaryotic small subunit ribosomal RNA", at positions 1759 to 1831 of the family's 1831-position model. Lineage: Eukaryota; Fungi. The record is from RNAcentral.
UCAAACUUGGUCAUUUAGAGGAAGUAAAAGUCGUAACAAGGUAACCGUAGGUGAACCUGCGGUUGGAUCAUUACUGAUUCUAAAACUUUAGAGUUUUUGUUUCUCUUUUAUUAGAGAUCAAAACCUCUCAACCCCAAAACCUUUUUUACCAAAUCAUUUAUGAUUUGAGUGAACAGUUUUAAAACUAUCAGCCUACUCAAUUUAUUGAAUAGGCUGUUUAUACCUAGAACAAACAUUUUUCAAAAUUUACUUCUUUUUUGAAAGCAUUUCAUAUUUUUUGAAAUGAAGAAAAGAAAAAAAACAACUUUUGACAAUGGAUCUCUAGGCUCUCGCAUCGAUGAAGAACGCAGC